AUGGGCUCACUAACCCUGAUGGCUACAUGCGUCCGGUUGAUGACUUGGUUGGUGUACAUAUCCAAGUCUCCAACUCGCCGUGCCUCGACGACCACCAUGCCUGACAAGCUGCUUAUGGCCACAAGCCAGGGUGAUGGCAAUCUGGCCUUGUACACAUCCAGCAACGGAGGUUCUGAUGAUGUAGAGGAAGGUGGUGCUCUGCCUGCACCAUCAUCGCUCCUUGAGGGGGUGACUGUCGAAGGGGACACUGCACUCCACGCGGUGGCUACCUGCGGCCGUGGCGAUGACUUCCUGAGGAGCGCAGACAUCAUCCACAGAAAGGCGCGAAACCUCCUGUUCGUGCAGAACAAGAAGGGAGACACACCCGUGCACUGCGCGGCGAGGGCCGGGAAUCUCAAGAUGGUCUCUUGUCUCAUUCGUCUGGCUAAAUCGGGAGGGGAGGCUGUUUCUCGAGUGAAGUCGCUGCUGGAGAAGGAGAACAAGCUUAAGGGGACGGCCUUGCAUGAGGCCGUCCGGAUUGGGAAGGUGGAGAUGGUGGAGCGGCUGAUGAAGGAGGACCAGGACUUGGCCGGUUUACACGAAAAAGGGGUUUUCCCCCGCUUUAUAUUAUAA
This 612-nucleotide ribosomal RNA is filed under the name Triticum aestivum (bread wheat). RNAcentral's name for it is "partial small subunit ribosomal RNA". The record is from RNAcentral. Lineage: Eukaryota; Viridiplantae; Streptophyta; Magnoliopsida; Poales; Poaceae.